CGCAAUGGGCGAAAGCCUGACGGAGCAAUACCGCGUGAGGGAGGAAGGCUCUUGGGUUGUAAACCUCUUUUCUCAGGGAAGAAAAAAAUGACGGUACCUGAGGAAUAAGCAUCGGCUAACUCCGUGCCAGCAGCCGCGGUAAUACGGAGGAUGCAAGCGUUAUCCGGAAUGAUUGGGCGUAAAGCGUCCGCAGGUGGCGAUGAAAGUCUGCUGUUAAAGAGUGAGGCUCAACCUCAUAAAAGCAGUGGAAACUACAUAGCUAGAGUACGUUCGGGGCAGAGGGAAUUCCUGGUGUAGCGGUGAAAUGCGUAGAGAUCAGGAAGAACACCGGUGGCGAAAGCGCUCUGCUAGGCCUGUAC
RNAcentral lists this ribosomal RNA (359 nucleotides) under Aulosira laxa K27. RNAcentral's name for it is "bacterial SSU rRNA". It matches the Rfam family "Bacterial small subunit ribosomal RNA", at positions 367 to 740 of the family's 1533-position model. Lineage: Bacteria; Bacillati; Cyanobacteriota; Cyanophyceae; Nostocales; Fortieaceae. The record is from RNAcentral.